Molecule: non-coding RNA, 32 nt
Filed under: Homo sapiens (human)
Lineage: Eukaryota; Metazoa; Chordata; Mammalia; Primates; Hominidae
Source: RNAcentral
UCCUAACAUCAAAAGGAACAAACUCCAGACGC